CCUACGGGUGGCAGCAGUGAGGAAUAUUGGUCAAUGGGCGGAAGCCUGAACCAGCCAAGUAGCGUGCGGGAUGAAGGCCCUACGGGUCGUAAACCGCUUUUGCACGGGGAUAACACCCUCCACUUGUGGAGGUCUGCAGGUACCGUGCGAAUAAGGGCCGACUAAUUCCGUGCCAGCAGCCGCGGUAAUACGGAAGGCCCGAGCGUUAUCCGGAUUUAUUGGGUUUAAAGGGUGCGCAGGCGGUCUGUUAAGUCAGCGGUCAAAGCCCGGGGCUCAACCCCGGCCCGCCGUUGAAACUGGCAGUCUCGAGUUGGAGAGAAGUAUGCGGAAUGCGCGGUGUAGCGGUGAAAUGCAUAGAUAUCGCGCAGAACUCCGAUUGCGAAGGCAGCAUGCCGGCUCCACACUGACGCUGAGGCACGAAAGCGUGGGUAUCGAACAGGAUUAGAUACCCUAGUAGUC
RNAcentral lists this ribosomal RNA (459 nucleotides) under uncultured bacterium. Its description in RNAcentral is "partial 16S ribosomal RNA". It matches the Rfam family "Bacterial small subunit ribosomal RNA", at positions 338 to 795 of the family's 1533-position model. The record is from RNAcentral.